This 433-nucleotide ribosomal RNA is filed under the name uncultured bacterium. Its description in RNAcentral is "partial 16S ribosomal RNA". It matches the Rfam family "Bacterial small subunit ribosomal RNA", at positions 29 to 507 of the family's 1533-position model. The record is from RNAcentral.
AGCGAACGCUGGCUGCAGGCCUAACACAUGCUAGUCGAACGAACUCUUCGGAGUUAGUGGCGGACGGGUGAGUAACACGUGGGAACGUGCCUUUAGGCUCGGAAUAACCCAGGGAAACUUGUGCCAAUACCGAAUGUGCCCUUCGGGGGUAAGAUUUAUCGACUUUAGAUCGUCCCGCGUCUGAUUAGUUAGUUGGUAACGUAAUGGCUCACCAUGCCGACGAUCAGUAGCUGGUCAGUGAAGCUGAUGAUCAACAUUGGGAUUGAGACACGGCCCAGACUUCUACGGGAGGUAGCGGAGGGGAAUCUUGCGAAGCGGGGGAAAGCAUGAGGAAGCCAUGCCGAGUGAAUGAUGAAGGUAUUAGGAGUGUAAGAUUCUUUCAACGAGGACGGUAACAACGGUACCCGGAGAAGAAGCCCCGGCUAACUAGGUG